UACGUAGGGUGCAAGCGUUGUCCGGAAUUAUUGGGCGUAAAGAGCUCGUAGGCGGUUCGUCGCGUCGGCUGUGAAAACCCGGAGCUCAACUCCGGGCCUGCAGUCGAUACGGGCGGACUCGAGUUCGGCAGGGGAGACUGGAAUUCCUGGUGUAGCGGUGAAAUGCGCAGAUAUCAGGAGGAACACCGGUGGCGAAGGCGGUUCUCUGGGCAUUACCUGACGCUGAGGAGCGAAAGUGUGGGGAGCGAACAGG
This 253-nucleotide ribosomal RNA is filed under the name uncultured bacterium. RNAcentral describes it as "partial 16S ribosomal RNA". It matches the Rfam family "Bacterial small subunit ribosomal RNA", at positions 524 to 776 of the family's 1533-position model. The record is from RNAcentral.